This 483-nucleotide ribosomal RNA is filed under the name uncultured bacterium. Its description in RNAcentral is "partial 16S ribosomal RNA". It matches the Rfam family "Bacterial small subunit ribosomal RNA", at positions 29 to 507 of the family's 1533-position model. The record is from RNAcentral.
AUUGAACGCUGGCGGCAUGCUUUACACAUGCAAGUCGAACGGCAGCGCGGGCUUCGGCCUGGCGGCGAGUGGCGAACGGGUGAGUAAUACAUCGGAACGUGCCCAGUAGUGGGGGAUAGCUCGGCGAAAGCCGGAUUAAUACCGCAUACGACCUGAGGGUGAAAGCGGGGGAUCUUCGGACCUCGCGCUAUUGGAGCGGCCGAUGGCAGAUUAGCUAGUUGGUGGGGUAAAGGCCUACCAAGGCGACGAUCUGUAGCUGGUCUUAGAGGACGACCAGCCACACUGGGACUGAGACACGGCCCAGACUCCUACGGGAGGCAGAAGUGGGGAAUUUUGGAAAAUGGGCGAAAGCCUGAUCCAGCAAUGCCGCGUGGGUGAUGAAGGCCUUCGGGUGGUAAAGCACUUUUGGCGGGAACGAAAAGGACUGUGCAAAUACACGGUUCGAUGACGGUACCCGCAGAAUAAGCACCGGCUAACUACGUG